CCAAAAGAUAAUCUUUCAAAUCGAAAGAUCUUUUCCUUUGUGCUGGCUUUGACCGUAUGUAAUUUUGGGACUUAAACAUGGUAACUUUUUUGUUACCGGUCCCAAAAACAAUUAUAUCAUCCUUAUGAAAAACUUACUGAACAACUAAACAAUGAUUUUAAUAA
Molecule: unclassified non-coding RNA, 164 nt
Filed under: Umbelopsis isabellina
Lineage: Eukaryota; Fungi; Mucoromycota; Umbelopsidomycetes; Umbelopsidales; Umbelopsidaceae
Source: RNAcentral